AGCUACUGGGAGAAAUAAUAAUUAAACAUUCAGCUGUUCGAUUGCAACCGGAAGAAGAAGGACAUAUAAGAAGAACAAAGAAAAAACAUACACCGCACGCCAGCUGUCUCACCCAGAAUACGCAGCCGGCAAUGAUAAGUAACCGUUCAGCUGUUUAUACUGCUAAUGGACUGUCUCGUUGAAAAGAUAAGAAGGGGAAGGGAAGGAGAAGGCAACAAGGACGAGUGAUGUCAGAUCAGGAGACACAAUUAUUUAGAUGGGUCUUUUAGCGCAACCAUGGAGCUAAGGAUAGCAGGACUGAUCCAGUCAGCAAGAGCUCCUCUCUCUGAGAUCAAGAAGGAUUUCUCCUUCACAUAGCUCUGCAGUUUCUUCGAGUCAUAGACCAGUCGUUAUUGAUCU
RNAcentral lists this long non-coding RNA (399 nucleotides) under Musa acuminata (dwarf banana). RNAcentral's name for it is "long non-coding RNA (MACU_LNC010153)". The record is from RNAcentral. Lineage: Eukaryota; Viridiplantae; Streptophyta; Magnoliopsida; Zingiberales; Musaceae.